AUUGAACGCUGGCGGCAGGCCUAACACAUGCAAGUCGAACGGUAACAGGAAGAAGCUUGCUUCUUUGCUGGCGAGUGGCGGACGGGUGAGUAAUGUCUGGGAAACUGCCUGAUGGAGGGGGAUAACUACUGGAAACGGUAGCUAAUACCGCAUAACGUCGCAAGACCAAAGAGGGGGACCUUCGGGCCUCUUGCCAUCGGAUGUGCCCAGAUGGGAUUAGCUAGUAGGUGGGGUAACGGCUCACCUAGGCGACGAUCCCUAGCUGGUCUGAGAGGAUGACCAGCCACACUGGAACUGAGACACGGUCCAGACUCCUACGGGAGGCAGCAGUGGGGAAUAUUGCACAAUGGGCGCAAGCCUGAUGCAGCCAUGCCGCGUGUAUGAAGAAGGCCUUCGGGUUGUAAAGUACUUUCAGCGGGGAGGAAGGGAGUAAAGUUAAUACCUUUACUCAUUGACGUUACCCGCAGAAGAAGCACCGGCUAACUCCGUG
Molecule: ribosomal RNA, 490 nt
Filed under: uncultured bacterium
Lineage: Bacteria
Description: partial 16S ribosomal RNA
Rfam family: Bacterial small subunit ribosomal RNA
Source: RNAcentral